RNAcentral lists this ribosomal RNA (510 nucleotides) under uncultured bacterium. Its description in RNAcentral is "partial 16S ribosomal RNA". It matches the Rfam family "Bacterial small subunit ribosomal RNA", at positions 28 to 507 of the family's 1533-position model. The record is from RNAcentral.
GACGAACGCUGGCGGCGUGCUUAACACAUGCCAGUCGAACGAAGAGCGAUGGAAGCUUGCUUCUAUCAAUCUUAGUGGCGAACGGGUGAGUAACGCGUAAUCAACCUGCCCUUCAGAGGGGGACAACAGUUGGAAACGACUGCUAAUACCGCAUACGAUCUAAUCUCGGCAUCGAGGAUAGAUGAAAGGUGGCCUCUACAUGUAAGCUAUCACUGAAGGAGGGGAUUGCGUCUGAUUAGCUAGUGGGAGGGGUAACGGCCCACCAAGGCGAUGAUCAGUAGCCGGUCUGAGAGGAUGGACGGCCACAUUGGGACUGAGACCCGGCCCAGACUCCUACGGGAGGCAGCAGUGGGGAAUCUUCCGCAAUGGACGAAAGUCUGACGGAGCAACGCCGCGUGAGUGAUGACGGCCUUCGGGUUGUAAAGCUCUGUUAAUCGGGACGAAAGGCCUUCUUGCGAAUAGUGAGAAGGAUUGACGGUACCGGAAUAGAAAGCCACGGCUAACUACGUG